GGCUGGUCCGAGUGUAGCGGCGUUUGCAGCUAGCUGAUGGCCACCAGGUACAGAUUCCUUUGUUCCUUCUCCAUUCCCACUGUUUCACUUGACUAGUUAAAA
Cebus imitator (Panamanian white-faced capuchin) is the source of this 102-nucleotide unclassified non-coding RNA. It matches the Rfam family "Y RNA". From Rfam's summary of the family: Y RNAs are components of the Ro ribonucleoprotein particle (Ro RNP), in association with Ro60 and La proteins. The Y RNAs and Ro60 and La proteins are well conserved, but the function of the Ro RNP is not known. NCBI's taxonomy places the organism in Eukaryota, Metazoa, Chordata, Mammalia, Primates, Cebidae. The record is from Ensembl.